GUACUCAUUUCAGCAGAACAUUUACUAAAACUAGAACAAUACAGAGAAGAUUACUAUGGCCCCUGUGCAGGGAAGACACAAAUUAGGGAAACAUUUCUUAUUUAA
This is a small nuclear RNA of Dromiciops gliroides (monito del monte), 105 nucleotides long. The record is from RefSeq and is a predicted model, not a curated record. NCBI's taxonomy places the organism in Eukaryota, Metazoa, Chordata, Mammalia, Microbiotheria, Microbiotheriidae.